AGGAAGUAAAAGUCGUAACAAGGUUUCCGUAGGUGAACCUGCGGAAGGAUCAUUAUCGAGUUUUGAAAUGGGUUGUAGCUGGUCUCUUUCAACGGAGGCAUGUGCACACCUGGCUCAUCCACUCUCAUACCCCUGUGCACUUAUUGUAGGCUUGGUAGACUGGACUUUACUGUCUGGAAAGCCUUUCCUAUGUCUUCAUAACAAACGCUUCAGUUUAAGAAUGUAAUUUUGUGGAUAACACAUUUAUAUACAACUUUCAGCAACGGAUCUCUUGGCUCUCGCAUCGAUGAAGAACGCAGCGAAAUGCGAUAAGUAAUGUGAAUUGCAGAAUUCAGUGAAUCAUCGAAUCUUUGAACGCACCUUGCGCUCCUUGGUAUUCCGAGGAGCAUGCCUGUUUGAGUGUCAUGGAAUUCUCAACCCUCAAAUCUUUGUUGAUUUGGUGGGCUUGGACUUGGAGGUUAGUGUCGGCUUGUUACCAAGUCGACUCCUCUGAAAUAUAUUAGCGUGAAUCUUACGGAUCGCUCUUCGGUGUGAUAAUUGUCUACGCCGUGUUCGUGAAGUAUAUCAGUGUUCUUGCUUAUAAUCGUCUCUUGUGGACAACUUUAUGACAUCUGACCUCAAAUCAGGUAGGACUACCCGCUGAACUUAAGCAUAU
This 655-nucleotide ribosomal RNA is filed under the name Hermanssonia centrifuga. Its description in RNAcentral is "eukaryotic LSU rRNA". The stretch from base 252 to 405 matches the Rfam family "5.8S ribosomal RNA". Lineage: Eukaryota; Fungi; Basidiomycota; Agaricomycetes; Polyporales; Meruliaceae. The record is from RNAcentral.